GUCUUACGAAAAAGGUUCGUUCCAUAGUAAUACACCUCCGCCGUUUGGACAAACCGCCGGAGCCACAUCUCAAUACGGUGCACAACAACUUUACAUUCAAGCUAUGCCAGCUGCUCUGCAUAACAUGAACAUGCAUCAACAAAUUCAUCAGAUGGACGGUCGCGUCUAUAACUCAACAAAAAGGGAUUCAAAUAAUGCCGGCCAAAGACAGCAGGCCAGUAGCCAGGGUAAAUCCAGUACUAAGCAAGGCUAUUCUCCAUCAUACUGGACCGCACAGAACUAAGAUUCAUCUAAACCUACACAACAAACACACACACACACACACACAUAAUCGAGAAAAAAAUGAAGUAAACAACAAAGUAAAAAAUGAGAACAAGAUAAACAAAAAUUUGCAGAAAAUCUUGAAUUAAUGAGAAAACAUUUACUUGAUAUAGUUUUUUUUUUCGAAAUUAAGCUAAAAAAAAUUAAUAAAAGAAAAAUUUACAUUGAGUAUAAUGAUGAAUGAGAUGCAAAAGUUAAUAAAUAAACAACAAGAAUUCAAGAUAUGAGCUGGACAUUUUUUCACAGUAAUUAUAAAUAACAGUUUAACCACAGUACACGAGAAGAAAAAUGAAAAAUGCUAUUGAUAAUCUAAAAAAUAAAUAAACAAGAAAAAAAAAUUAAAUAAAAAAAAAACAAUUAAUUGAAUAAGGUUUAAGUGUGGAAAAGUACAUAUAUGAAAAAGAAAAAAAUUAUAUUAUAAUAAAAAUUGAAUUAUGAAAUUUAUUAAAAAAAAAAACCAACAAAAACAACAUGAUGCAAAAUAAAAUUGAACAGAAAAUGAAAUUUAAACAAAUAGAAUAAAA
Long non-coding RNA from Sitodiplosis mosellana (orange wheat blossom midge), 845 nucleotides. RefSeq lists it as uncharacterized. The transcript is spliced from 3 exons. NCBI's taxonomy places the organism in Eukaryota, Metazoa, Arthropoda, Insecta, Diptera, Cecidomyiidae. The record is from RefSeq and is a predicted model, not a curated record.